RNAcentral lists this long non-coding RNA (277 nucleotides) under Setaria viridis. RNAcentral describes it as "long non-coding RNA (SVIR_LNC009981)". The record is from RNAcentral. Lineage: Eukaryota; Viridiplantae; Streptophyta; Magnoliopsida; Poales; Poaceae.
AAAAUUCCUUUCCCAAAACUUCUGGACUUAAUAUUCAAACUCUAGUUAAAUCUCUAGGAAAUUACUAUUCAUUAGGUAUAUUCAAACACUUUCAAACCUAAAACCCUUCCAAAAGUUCCCUUUUAUGGCCAACCCAAACCCGCACCUUGAACUUUAUUCAAAUUUGAAAUAUAUUUCAAAUCCAUCUUUAAACUAAUGAAAAAUCAAACUAAAAUCUCAACGGGCCGCCAACCUUCCGUUCCACGCAUUCCUUCUUUCAGCCCGGCCCACCUUCCGC